AUGCCAUGUUGAGGACACUUUCGGAGUAGUCCUUUAAAUAUUUCCCAUGCCUCGAAUAAAGAUUCGCUUUCUUUUGUUUAAAAGCAGUGAUCUCCGCUUUGAGCCU
Gastrolobium bilobum is the source of this 106-nucleotide small nucleolar RNA. The record is from RefSeq and is a predicted model, not a curated record. NCBI's taxonomy places the organism in Eukaryota, Viridiplantae, Streptophyta, Magnoliopsida, Fabales, Fabaceae.